RNAcentral lists this small RNA (492 nucleotides) under Histoplasma ohiense. Its description in RNAcentral is "hypothetical lncRNA". The record is from RNAcentral. Lineage: Eukaryota; Fungi; Ascomycota; Eurotiomycetes; Onygenales; Ajellomycetaceae.
CUCACUCACCCUGGUAGAAGGGGAUAAUGUGACAGAUUAGCAUCUGUUAGUAAUCAACUUACACAACCAACUCCCCUUCUACACCUGCUUGUUUCUGGCUGUUGUGAUCUUGCAUAAUCCUUGAUGUUCUUCUGCUCUGUGCUCUGUGCUUGUGUAGUUUCUAAUGAUUCUUCCACAUAGCUCCUUACAUUCUCCCACUCUGUGUUCUGUGCUUGUGUAGUCUCUAACAAUUCUUCCGCGUAGCCCUCAAUGAUUCCCCCACCCCACAUUCCACACUUGUGUAGCUUCUAAUGAUUCUUACACAUACCCUUUAAUGUUCUUCCACUCCACACUCCACUGUGGAGCGGCUUCUGAUAUUCUUCCGCCCUGAACUUUCCCCUAUAAGAACCCUCUUUGUAUGACCUUUUCUUCUGAUUUCUUUUCUCUUUCUUUCCUUAAUCAAUUCGUAAUCUGUAAUUAGGAUAGUACCAAAUCGUUAAUCGAAGUACGCCC